Molecule: ribosomal RNA, 508 nt
Filed under: uncultured bacterium
Lineage: Bacteria
Description: partial 16S ribosomal RNA
Rfam family: Bacterial small subunit ribosomal RNA
Source: RNAcentral
AUUGAACGCUGGCGGCAUGCCUUACACAUGCAAGUCGAACGGCAGCGGGGGAGAAGCUCGCUUUUCCUGCCGGCGAGUGGCGAACGGGUGAGUAAUACAUCGGAACGUGCCCUGUAGUGGGGGAUAACUAGUCGAAAGAUUAGCUAAUACCGCAUACGACCUGAGGGUGAAAGUGGGGGACCGCAAGGCCUCAUGCUAUAGGAGCGGCCGAUGUCUGAUUAGCUAGUUGGUGGGGUAAAGGCCUACCAAGGCGACGAUCAGGAGCUGGUCUGAGAGGACGAUCAGCCACACUGGAACUGAGACACGGCCAAGACUCCUACGGGAGGCAGCAGUGGGGAAUUUUGGACAAUGGGCGAAAGCCUGAUCCAGCAAUGCCGCGUGUGUGAAGAAGGCCUUCGGGUUGUAAAGCACUUUUGUCCGGAAAGAAAUGGCUCUGGUUAAUACCUGGGGUCGAUGACGGUACCGGAAGAAUAAGGACCGGCUAACUACGUGCCAGCAGCCGCGGUAA